RNAcentral lists this ribosomal RNA (744 nucleotides) under uncultured bacterium. RNAcentral's name for it is "bacterial SSU rRNA". It matches the Rfam family "Bacterial small subunit ribosomal RNA", at positions 8 to 796 of the family's 1533-position model. The record is from RNAcentral.
AGAGUUUGAUCCUGGCUCAGAACGAACGCUGGCGGCAGGCUUAACACAUGCAAGUCGAACGGUUGUAGCAAUACAGCAGUGGCGCACGGGUGAGUAACACGUGGAUAUCUGCCUUUUGGUUCGGAAUAACCCUGGGAAACUAGGGCUAAUACCGAAUGGUUCCUACGGGAUAAAGAUUUAUCGCCAAAAGAUGAGUCCGCGUCCGAUUAGCUAGUUGGUGAGGUAAUGGCUCACCAAGGCGACGAUCGGUAGCUGGUCUGAGAGGACGAUCAGCCACACUGGGACUGAGACACGGCCCAGACUCCUACGGGAGGCAGCAGUGGGGAAUAUUGGACAAUGGGGGCAACCCUGAUCCAGCCAUGCCGCGUGAGUGAUGAAGGCCUUCGGGUUGUAAAGCUCUUUUGGCGGGGACGAUGAUGGCGGUACCCGCAGAAUAAGCCCCGGCUAACUUCGUGCCAGCAGCCGCGGUAAGACGAAGGGGGCUAGCGUUGUUCGGAAUUACUGGGCGUAAAGCGCGUGUAGGCGGUUGUUCAAGUCAGGUGUGAAAGCCUUGAGCUCAACUCAAGAAAUGCACUUGAUACUGGAUGACUAGAGGACCGGAGAGGAUAGUGGAAUUCCCAGUGUAGUGGUGAAAUACGUAGAGAUUGGGAAGAACACCAGUGGCGAAGGCGGCUAUCUGGACGGUUUCUGACGCUAAGACGCGAAAGCGUGGGGAGCAAACAGGAUUAGAUACCCUAGUAGUCC